This 388-nucleotide ribosomal RNA is filed under the name Ara chloropterus (red-and-green macaw). RNAcentral's name for it is "partial 12S ribosomal RNA". It matches the Rfam family "Bacterial small subunit ribosomal RNA", at positions 798 to 1381 of the family's 1533-position model. Lineage: Eukaryota; Metazoa; Chordata; Aves; Psittaciformes; Psittacidae. The record is from RNAcentral.
AGCCCUAAAUCUUGAUGACCCCAAACACAAACAUCCGCCUGAGAACUACGAGCACAAACGCUUAAAACUCUAAGGACUUGGCGGUGCUCUAAACCCACCUAGAGGAGCCUGUUCUAUAAUCGAUAACCCACGAUUCACCCGACCACCUCUUGCCAAAACAGCCUAUAUACCGCCGUCGCCAGCCCACCUCCUGAGAGCACAACAGUGAGCCCAACAGCCCACAGCCCACUAACAAGACAGGUCGAGGUAUAGCCUAUGAGGUGGAAGAAAUGGGCUACAUUUUCUAAAAUAGAAAACCCAACGAAAAGGGGCUUGAAACCUGCCCCCAGAAGGCGGAUUUAGCAGUAAAGUAGGAUAACCAAGCCUCCUUUAAGCCGGUCCUAGAGCA